This 301-nucleotide ribosomal RNA is filed under the name uncultured bacterium. RNAcentral's name for it is "partial 16S ribosomal RNA". It matches the Rfam family "Bacterial small subunit ribosomal RNA", at positions 509 to 807 of the family's 1533-position model. The record is from RNAcentral.
CAGCCGCCACGGGAAUACGUAGGGUGCAAGCGUUAAUCGGAAUUACUGGGCGUAAAGCGUGCGCAGGCGGUUCGGAAAGAAAGAUGUGAAAUCCCAGGGCUCAACCUUGGAACUGCAUUUUUAACUACCGGACUAGAGUAUGUCAGAGGGAGGUGGAAUUCCACGUGUAGCAGUGAAAUGCGUAGAUAUGUGGAGGAACACCGAUGGCGAAGGCAGCCUCCUGGAAUAAUACUGACGCUCAUGCACGAAAGCGUGGGGAGCAAACAGGAUUAGAGACCCCUGUAGUCCCUGUCUCUUAUAC